This 101-nucleotide ribosomal RNA is filed under the name human gut metagenome. The record is from RNAcentral.
AGCGGUGAGGUCCCACCUGUUCCCAUACCGAACACAGAAGUUAAGCUCACCUGCGCUAAAAGUACUUGGCUGGACACGGCCCGGGAGGAUAAGUCGAUGCC